UGGAGGAUAAUCUCGGGAAACUGAGAAUAAUAUUCCAUAGAUUUAGGAUGCUGGAAUGCACUUAAAUUAAAAGCUUCGGCGCCUAAGGAUGAGUCUGCGGACUAUCAGGUUGUAGUCAGGGUAACGACCUGACUAGCCUACGACGGAUACGGGUUGUGAGAGCAAUAACCCGGAGAUGAUAUCUGAGACACGAUAUCAGGCCCUACGGGGCGCAGCAGGCGCGAAAACUUCGCAAUGUGCGAAAGCACGACGAGGGAAUCCCAAGUGCUGGCUCGUUAGAGUCAGCUGUUUUUAUGUCUAAAAAGCAUAGAGAGUAAGGGCUGGGUAAGACGGGUGCCAGCCGCCGCGGUAAUACCUGCAGCUCUAGUGGUGG
RNAcentral lists this ribosomal RNA (373 nucleotides) under uncultured archaeon. RNAcentral's name for it is "bacterial SSU rRNA". It matches the Rfam family "Archaeal small subunit ribosomal RNA", at positions 120 to 494 of the family's 1478-position model. The record is from RNAcentral.